CAAUACCUUCUGAUUUAACGCUGCUUCCAAAACAGCAAGAGAUCAAGGAUAACACACCAAAACAGAAGUCACUGGCAUCAGCCUUAUGGAACAAUCAGAGGCAGCUGUAUUGGUGGAUCAUUUGCUGUCUAUGUGUGUUUUUAAUAAGGCCCUGUGCAUUUAGGACUGUAAAGUCCUAAAACGCCAAGUGGUGUCUCAUGCACCGCUCAAUUGUCCGGACUGUCUCGCACAUUUGUAAUUCAAUGAAUGUUGACCCGAUGAAUGAGAUUGCAAAGACAGAAGGUGUUGGUGCUGCCUCAGGCUAUGGCGUCUUGAAGCAUGACUUAUUCAACCUCUGCACCAAUGAUAGUCAACCUCCUGGUUCUUGAGCUGC
Balaenoptera musculus (blue whale) is the source of this 373-nucleotide long non-coding RNA. RefSeq lists it as uncharacterized. The record is from RefSeq and is a predicted model, not a curated record. The transcript is spliced from 3 exons. Lineage: Eukaryota; Metazoa; Chordata; Mammalia; Artiodactyla; Balaenopteridae.